UUGAACGCUGGCGGCAGGCCUAACACAUGCAAGUCGAACGGUAACAGGAAACAGCUUGCUGUUUCGCUGACGAGUGGCGGACGGGUGAGUAAUGUCUGGGAAACUGCCUGAUGGAGGGGGAUAACUACUGGAAACGGUAGCUAUACCGCAUAACGUCGCAAGACCAAAGAGGGGGACCCUCGGGCCUCUUGCCAUCGGAUGUGCCCAGAUGGGAUUAGCUUGUUGGUGGGGUAACGGCUCACCAAGGCGACGAUCCCUAGCUGGUCUGAGAGGAUGACCAGCCACACUGGAACUGAGACACGGUCCAGACUCCUACGGGAGGCAGCAGUGGGGAAUAUUGCACAAUGGGCGCAAGCCUGAUGCAGCCAUGCCGCGUGUAUGAAGAAGGCCUUCGGGUUGUAAAGUACUUUCAGCGGGGAGGAAGGGAGUAAAGUUAAUACCUUUGCUCAUUGACGUUACCCGCAGAAGAAGCACCGGCUAACUCCGUG
This 488-nucleotide ribosomal RNA is filed under the name uncultured bacterium. Its description in RNAcentral is "partial 16S ribosomal RNA". It matches the Rfam family "Bacterial small subunit ribosomal RNA", at positions 30 to 507 of the family's 1533-position model. The record is from RNAcentral.